AACGAACGCUGGCGGCAGGCUUAACACAUGCAAGUCGAGCGAGACCUUCGGGUCUAGCGGCGGACGGGUGAGUAACGCGGGGGAACGUGCCCUUCUCUACGGAAUAGCCCCGGGAAACUGGGAGUAAUACCGGAUACGCCCUUUGGGGGAAAGAUUUAUCGGAGAAGGAUCGGCCCGCGUUGGAUUAGGUAGUUGGUGGGGUAAUGGCCGACCAAGCCGACGAUCCAUAGCUGGUUUGAGAGGAUGGUCAGCCACACUGGGACUGGGACACGGCCCAGACUCCUACGGGAGGCAGCAGUGGGUGAUCUUAGACAAUGGGGGCAACCCUGAUCUAGCCCUGCCGCGUGAGUGAUGAAGGCCUUAGGGUUGUAAAGCUCUUUCAGCUGGGAAGAUAAUGACGGUACCAGCAGAAGAAGCCCCGGCUAACUCCGUG
Molecule: ribosomal RNA, 433 nt
Filed under: uncultured bacterium
Lineage: Bacteria
Description: partial 16S ribosomal RNA
Rfam family: Bacterial small subunit ribosomal RNA
Source: RNAcentral